GGCUCAGGACGAACGCUGGCGGCGUGCCUAACACAUGCAAGUCGAGCGAGGAGAUUCCUCGGGAUGAUCCUAGCGGCGGACGGGUGAGUAACACGUGGGCAACCUGCCUCAUAGAGAGGAAUAGCCUUCCGAAAGGGAGAUUAAUACCUCAUAACAUUGCAGUUUCGCAUGGAACAGCAAUUAAAGGAGUAAUCCGCUAUGAGAUGGGCCCGCGGCGCAUUAGCUAGUUGGUGAGGUAAUGGCUCACCAAGGCGACGAUGCGUAGCCGACCUGAGAGGGUGAUCGGCCACAUUGGGACUGAGACACGGCCCAGACUCCUACGGGAGGCAGCAGUGGGGAAUAUUGCACAAUGGGGGAAACCCUGAUGCAGCCAACGCCGCGUGAGUGAUGACGGCCUUCGGGUUGUAAAGCUCUGUCUUCAGGGACGAUAAUGACGGUACCUGAGGAGGAAGCCACGGCUAACUACGUGCCAGCAGCAGC
This 480-nucleotide ribosomal RNA is filed under the name uncultured bacterium. Its description in RNAcentral is "bacterial SSU rRNA". It matches the Rfam family "Bacterial small subunit ribosomal RNA", at positions 21 to 518 of the family's 1533-position model. The record is from RNAcentral.